CACUCCUCAUUCUCAUCUAACAAUCUUCCCUUUCUUCUCUGAAGAGUCGCUGGCACCACCACCACCAUCGUCCCUCGUGCCCAGCUCGUGCCCGCCACCACCGCCGUCACUCCUCACUUUCUUCAAACACUGAUGUUGCUUUGGGGUUUUUUGCUUUGGGGUUGUCGACGAAAAGAAUGCUGUGAGCAUCAAACAUGUUUGUUAAUUUUCAGAUUCUUUUCAUGGGUUGUCUUGGUCCAUGGACGAGAGAUCGUUGAAAGAUGCGUUU
Molecule: long non-coding RNA, 268 nt
Organism: Cucumis melo (muskmelon)
Lineage: Eukaryota; Viridiplantae; Streptophyta; Magnoliopsida; Cucurbitales; Cucurbitaceae
Exons: 3
Source: RefSeq, a predicted model, not a curated record